This 468-nucleotide ribosomal RNA is filed under the name uncultured bacterium. RNAcentral describes it as "partial 16S ribosomal RNA". It matches the Rfam family "Bacterial small subunit ribosomal RNA", at positions 28 to 507 of the family's 1533-position model. The record is from RNAcentral.
GACGAACGCUGGCGGCGUGCUUAACACAUGCAAGUCGAACGGAAAGGCCCUGCUUUUGUGGGGUGCUCGAGUGGCGAACGGGUGAGUAACACGUGAGUAACCUGCCCUUGACUUUGGGAUAACUUCAGGAAACUGGGGCUAAUACCGGAUAGGAGCUCCUGCUGCAUGGUGGGGGUUGGAAAGUUUCGGCGGUUGGGGAUGGACUCGCGGCUUAUCAGCUUGUUGGUGGGGUAGUGGCUUACCAAGGCUUUGACGGGUAGCCGGCCUGAGAGGGUGACCGGCCCCCUUGGGACUGAGAUACGGCCCCGACUCCUACGGGAGGCAGCAGUGGGGAAUAUUGCACAAUGGGCGGAAGCCUGAUGCAGCAACGCCGCGUGCGGGAUGACGGCCUUCGGGUUGUAAACCGCUUUCGCCUGUGACGAAGCGUGAGUGACGGUAAUGGGUAAAGAAGCACCGGCUAACUACGUG